CCUACGGGAGGCAGCAGUGAGGAAUAUUGGUCAAUGGACGCAAGUCUGAACCAGCCAUGCCGCGUGCAGGAAGACGGCUCUAUGAGUUGUAAACUGCUUUUGUACGAGGGUAAACGCAGAUACGCGUAUCUGUCUGAAAGUAUCGUACGAAUAAGGAUCGGCUAACUCCGUGCCAGCAGCCGCGGUAAUACGGAGGAUUCAAGCGUUAUCCGGAUUUAGUGGGUUUAAAGGGUGCGUAGGCGGUCGGAUAAGUUAGAGGUGAAAUCCCGAGGCUCAACUUCGGAAUUGACUCUGAUACUGUUCGGCUAGAGAGUAGUUGCGGUAGGCGGAAUGUAUGGUGUAGCGGUGAAAUGUUUAGAGAUCAUACAGAACACCGAUUGCGAAGGCAGCUUACCAAGCUACUUCUGACGUUGAGGCACGAAAGCGUGGGGAGCAAACAGGAUUAGAUACCCGGGUAGUC
This 460-nucleotide ribosomal RNA is filed under the name uncultured bacterium. RNAcentral's name for it is "partial 16S ribosomal RNA". It matches the Rfam family "Bacterial small subunit ribosomal RNA", at positions 338 to 795 of the family's 1533-position model. The record is from RNAcentral.